GGCACCUUUGGCCCCCGGUCGUGCGGUAGCCUCACACACCAUCGGUAGCAUGUGCCAUCCCGUGGUGCGGGGCCAUGUGUCAGAGCAUCGGCCACUACCAGCCCCUUCGAUGUGUCAGAGCAUUGGGCAGCAUCGGUACCUUAGUGCAUCAGAUGUGCGGGAGGGUCAAGCACCUGACUUCUGGAAAGGAUGCAUUUAUUAGAUAAAAGGUCGACGUGGGCUUUGCUCGUUGCUCUGAUGAUUCAUGAUAACUCAACGGGUUGCACGGCCUUUGUGCCGGCGACGCAUCAUUCAAAUUUUUGCCCUAUCAACUUUUGAUGGUAGGAUAGUGGCCUACUAUGGUGGUGACGGGUGAUGGAGAAUUAGGGUUCGAUUCCUGAAAGGGAGCCUAAGAAACGGCUACCAUAUCCAAGGAAGACAGCAGGCGCGCAAAUUACCCAAUCCUGACACGAGGAGGUAGUGACAAUAAAUAACAAUACCGGGCUCUAUGAGUCUGGUAGUUGGAAUGAGUACAAUCUAAAUCCCUUAACGAGGAUCCAUAGGAGGGCAAGUCUGGUGCCAGCAAUCGCGGUAAUUCCAGCUCCAAUAGCGUAUAUUUAAGUUGUUGCAUUUAAAAAGCUCGUAGUUGGAUUUAAGGGUGGGUCGGUCGGUCCGCCUCACAGUGAGCACUAGUUUGCUCGUCCCUACUGUCGGUGAUGCUCUCCUGGCCUUAAUCGGUUGGGUCGUUCAUUCAGUGCUGUUACUUUGAAGAAAUUAGAGUGCUCAAAGCAGGCCUACAUUUGUAUACAUUAGCAUAGGAUAACAUCAUAGGAUUUCGAUCCUAUUGUGUUGGCCUUCAGGAUCAGAGUAAUGAUUAACAGGGACAGUUGGGGGCAUUUUUAUUUCAUAGUCAGAGGUGAAAUUCUUGGAUUUAUGAAAGAGGAACAACUGCGAAAGCAUUUUCCAAGGAUGUUUUCAUUAAUCAAGAAUGAAAGUUGGGGCUCAAAGACUCGAUGGUUAGGCAGAAUCCCAUGACUACUUUAACGUCAUUAGUUGGGUAUGCUUCAGCUUCAAUCCACUUGAAUACGUAAUCUAAAACUACCAAAAUAAACUUAUUACCGUAUGAAGAAGGAAAUAGGCCUAGAAAAUCAAUGCCCCAUACAUCAAGAAAUUCUAUCUCUAAAAUAUUCAUUAAAGGCAUCUGAUUCCUUCUUGGUAUGUUUCCAGUUCUUUGGCAUCUAUCACAGUUUCUCACAUAUGCAUAAACAUCCUUGAACAAUGUAGGCCAAAAGAACCCAGC
Molecule: ribosomal RNA, 1279 nt
Filed under: Gossypium barbadense (sea-island cotton)
Lineage: Eukaryota; Viridiplantae; Streptophyta; Magnoliopsida; Malvales; Malvaceae
Description: SSU rRNA
Rfam family: Eukaryotic small subunit ribosomal RNA (bases 1-1133)
Source: RNAcentral